GUCCUUUGUGUGGCUCCUUGUUCUUGUUCAGUUACUCUCAGAAUAAGGCAACACGCAAAGGAUU
Monodelphis domestica (gray short-tailed opossum) is the source of this 64-nucleotide microRNA precursor. The record is from Ensembl. NCBI's taxonomy places the organism in Eukaryota, Metazoa, Chordata, Mammalia, Didelphimorphia, Didelphidae.